UACAGAGGUCUCAAGCGUUGUUCGGAUUCAUUGGGCGUAAAGGGUGCGUAGGUGGCGCCGUAAGUCGGGUGUGAAAUUUCGGAGCUUAACUCCGAAACUGCAUUCGAUACUGCGGUGCUUGAGGACUGGAGAGGAGACUGGAAUUCAUGGUGUAGCAGUGAAAUGCGUAGAGAUCAUGAGGAAGACCAGUGGCGAAGGCGGGUCCCUGGACAGUUCCUGACACUGAGGCACGAAGGCCAGGGGAGCAAACGGG
Molecule: ribosomal RNA, 253 nt
Filed under: uncultured bacterium
Lineage: Bacteria
Description: partial 16S ribosomal RNA
Rfam family: Bacterial small subunit ribosomal RNA
Source: RNAcentral